UGUACUACUCAGAGUUUGAUCAUGGCUCAGAUUGAACGCUGGCGGCAUGCUUUACACAUGCAAGUCGAACGGCAGCGCGGGGCAACCUGGCGGCGAGUGGCGAACGGGUGAGUAAUAUAUCGGAACGUGCCCUGGGGUGGGGGAUAACGCAGCGAAAGUUGCGCUAAUACCGCAUACGAUCUAAGGAUGAAAGCAGGGGACCGCAAGGCCUUGUGCUCCUGGAGCGGCCGAUAUCUGAUUAGCUAGUUGGUGGGGUAAAGGCCUACCAAAGGCAUCGGAUCAGUAGCUGGGUCUGAGAGGACGACCAGCCACACUGGAACUGAGACACGGUCCAGGCUCCUACGGGAGGCAGCAGUGGGGAAUUUUGGACAAUGGGCGAAAGCCUGAUCCAGCAAUGCCGCGUGAGUGAAGAAGGCCUUCGGGUUGUAAAGC
This 432-nucleotide ribosomal RNA is filed under the name uncultured Janthinobacterium sp. Its description in RNAcentral is "bacterial SSU rRNA". It matches the Rfam family "Bacterial small subunit ribosomal RNA", at positions 1 to 431 of the family's 1533-position model. Lineage: Bacteria; Pseudomonadati; Pseudomonadota; Betaproteobacteria; Burkholderiales; Oxalobacteraceae. The record is from RNAcentral.